GUGUAUGGACUUGUUGGACUAAGUGCACUUGAUCUUGUUUAAUCUUGGAAGCUAGAAGGGCCCAAACCUGGCUAGUACUCAGAUGAGAGGCCACCUGGGGCUGCUGAAUCCUGUAAACA
RNAcentral lists this ribosomal RNA (119 nucleotides) under Crocodylus porosus (Australian saltwater crocodile). Lineage: Eukaryota; Metazoa; Chordata; Crocodylia; Crocodylidae. The record is from RNAcentral.